This is a long non-coding RNA of Oreochromis aureus, 456 nucleotides long. Lineage: Eukaryota; Metazoa; Chordata; Actinopteri; Cichliformes; Cichlidae. The record is from Ensembl.
GUAAUUUGGCAUAAUCUAAGACAAAUAAGUGUUUUAUUAUGUAAAAUGUUUUGGCUACCAAUUGAUUUUAUUCCAUCUGUUGUCAAAGCAGAAGCAGGAACCAGCACAGAGUUGCCCUCAGCAGGUCCCUGCCAACACACAGCAGAGGAUCCCUUCUAUUCUACAAUACAGUUGCAGAGAGAGAGCUGACUAUAGACAUAAUCACACCUGACAUGUAUUUUAUCCUGUCUUCCUUCUCUGACCCUAACCUGUUGCAGCAGAUGGCCCCGCCCCUCCCUGAGCCUGGUUCUGCCGGAGGUUUCUUCCUGUUAAAAGGGAGUUUUUCCUUCCCACUGUUGCCAAAGUGCUUGCUCAUCAGUGGUCAAAUGAUCUGUGGUUUUUUCUUUGUAUUAUUGUAGAGUCUAGCUUACAAUAUAAAGCACCUUGAGUUGUGUUCUGGCACUGUAUAAAUAAAAU